RNAcentral lists this signal recognition particle RNA (299 nucleotides) under Saimiri boliviensis boliviensis (Bolivian squirrel monkey). RNAcentral's name for it is "Metazoan signal recognition particle RNA (ENSSBOG00000013855.1)". It matches the Rfam family "Metazoan signal recognition particle RNA". Rfam says of the family: The signal recognition particle (SRP) is a universally conserved ribonucleoprotein. It is involved in the co-translational targeting of proteins to membranes. Lineage: Eukaryota; Metazoa; Chordata; Mammalia; Primates; Cebidae. The record is from RNAcentral.
GCCAGGUGUGGUGGCGCGUGCCUGUAGUCCCAGCAACUCAAGAGGCUGAGGUGGGAGGAUCACUUGAGCCCAGGAGUUCUGGGCUGUAGUGCGCUAUGCCGAUCAGGUGUCCGCACUAAAUUCGGCAUCAAUAUGGUGACCUCCUGGAAGCGGGAAACCACCAGGUUGCCUAAGGAGGGGUGAACUGGCCCAGGUUGGAAAAAGAGCAGGUCAAAACUCCCGUGCUGAUCAGUAGUGGGAUCGCGCCUGUGAAUAGCCACUGCCCUCCAGCCUGCGCAACAUAGCAAGACCCCGUCUUU